Dreissena polymorpha is the source of this 484-nucleotide long non-coding RNA. RefSeq lists it as uncharacterized. The record is from RefSeq and is a predicted model, not a curated record. The transcript has 3 exons. Lineage: Eukaryota; Metazoa; Mollusca; Bivalvia; Myida; Dreissenidae.
GAUUGUAUUUGGGUCAUCUGGGGUCAAAAACUAGGUCACUAGGUCAAAAACUAGGUCAAAUAGUAGAAAAACCUUGUGUAGACAGUAGAGGUCACAGUUUUCAUCCAAUCUUUAUGAAAUUUGGUCAGAAUGUUUAUCUUGAUAAAAUCUGGGUUGGGAUUGUAUUUUGGUCAUCUGGGGUCAAAAACUAGGUCACUAGGUCAAAAAAUAGGUCAAAUAAUAGAAAAACCUUGUGUAGAAAAUAGAGGUCGCAGUUUUCAUCCAAUCUUUAUGAAAUUUGGUCAGAAUGUUUAUCUUGAUGAAAUCUAGGUUGGGAUUGUAUUUGGGUCAUCUGAGGUCAAAAACUAGGUCACUAGGUCAAAUAAUAGAAAAACCGUCAACAAUUUGUUUGUGUAGACAGUAGAGGUCACAGUUUUCAUCCAAUCUUUAUAAAAUUUGGUCAGAAUGUUUAUCUUGAUGAAAUCUGGGUUGGGAUUGUAUUUGG